RNAcentral lists this ribosomal RNA (515 nucleotides) under uncultured bacterium. Its description in RNAcentral is "partial 16S ribosomal RNA". It matches the Rfam family "Bacterial small subunit ribosomal RNA", at positions 28 to 523 of the family's 1533-position model. The record is from RNAcentral.
GAUGAACGCUGGCGGCGUGCCUAAUACAUGCAAGUCGAGCGAAUGGAUUAAGAGCUUGCUCUUAUGAAGUUAGCGGCGGACGGGUGAGUAACACGUGGGUAACCUGCCCAUAAGACUGGGAUAACUCCGGGAAACCGGGGCUAAUACCGGAUAAUAUUUUGAACUGCAUGGUUCAAAAUUGAAAGGCGGCUUCGGCUGUCACUUAUGGAUGGACCCGCGUCGCAUUAGCGAGUUGGUGAGGUAACGGCUCACCAAGGCAACGAUGCGUAGCCUACCGGAGGGGGGCAUCGGGCACAACGGGAAUGGGACACGCCCCAGACUCCUACGAGAGGCAGCAGUAGGGAAUCUUCCGCAAGGGACGAAAGUCUGACGGAGCAACGCCGCGUGAGUGAUGAAGGCUUUCGGGUCGUAAAACUCUGGUGUUAGGGAAGAACAAGUGCUAGUUGAAUAAGCUGGCACCUUGACGGUACCUAACCAGAAAGCCACGGCUAACUACGUGCCAGCAGCCGCCGUAA